Molecule: ribosomal RNA, 264 nt
Filed under: uncultured bacterium
Lineage: Bacteria
Description: partial 16S ribosomal RNA
Rfam family: Bacterial small subunit ribosomal RNA
Source: RNAcentral
GACGAACGCUGGCGGCGUGCUUAACACAUGCAAGUCGAGCGACUGCAUUCUUUUCGGAGGGUGUAUGGAGCGGCGAACGGGUGGGUAACACGUGAGUAAUCUGCCUUUGGCUUGGGAAUAACUUCGGGAAAUCGGGGCUAAUGCCUGAUGUUUACUGUCUGCUGCAUGGUGGGUGGUGGAAAGAUUUUUUGGCCAGGGAUGAGCUCGCGGUCUAUCAGCUUGUUGGGGGGUAAUGGCUUACCAAGGCUUUGACGGGUAGCCGCC